UCGCCACCCUAGAUUGCACGGUGGAGGGCAAGAAGCUCUCAGACCGCCACUCCUUCCACAAACUGUGCGUGGGUUCAGCUGCCGCAGCGCAGCGAGACCCUGCAUUUGUGACGUACAGCCAGUUUAUUUCGGCGUUAGGCGAGCAUAAAAUUGACAUACUGAAAAUCGACGUCGAGUCAUUUGAGUUUCCGCUGUUCGGGGAGUGGCGUGAGCACUCGCGAUCCCUGCCCGAGCAGAUUGCCGUAGAAGUGCACUGGCAUGAGGCUUACCUCAGGAAUUUUGAGGCAGACCUUCAAUCGCACUGGGGUCGCGGUGAAUUUGGCGUGACGGAUCUGGCGUUGUUCUUCCUCCACCUAGCAAACCUGGGCUAUGGCAUUGUCAGCCAGGAGAUAAACGAAUUUUGUCCGUCGUGCUCCGAAUUUACAUUGGUACGGGUUGAGGCAUCAGUGCCGUACGGCGGCAAUGGUGCCGUGCAUACGGGAUGGCACGGUGCCUAAAAGAAUUUGCCUUAGUUAGCCUUGGACUGUUUGUCGUGUGAGAUGCAGGGGCUGGGCAAGGAUAUGGUGCGCCAGAAUGUUCAUCGCCCACAUGGGUUCGCGCGUUUGCGUCUGCGUGGUAUGAUCGUGGUUCCUUCAAGCUGUGCCCAUUGCGGUCGAUCACCAAAAGUUUGCGUUCCAGGCUCCACGCGUACUACUCUGUCUUCUGCGGGAAACUGAUUCUACCCAUAAUUUAAAAUUUAACCAUUAAUUAUAAUUCUAAGUUAUAAUUUAACUGUUAAUGAAGGUGAGAGCCUUCUUUUUGUAAUCUUGCCUAUGAAUGGUGCCACUGUCUCAGUAAUCAUACAAGUCUAUUAUUACGAAUUACGAAAUACGAAAUACGAAUAAAGGUUUUCGUGGAUUUUUAUGCCGUUUCUGUACUCAGCUACCGAAUUAGAUUGACUAUCGGUUCUUUCAUUACAUGUUUUUGAGCAUUAGUUUUUGUGAACAGUCAGAUAUCUAGGAACAAGUUCGAACAAGUUCGACCCACUAAAAGUUAAUUUAGUUUCAUGUCAGUGUUUCAUUCUCAUCGUUAAUAUUGUACGCCGAAGAGGAGCUGCGCCCCAAUAGCAACACAUAUUCAUAUGUAGUGGUGGAGACGCCAUAUAGCUUUUUUAUAUUUGCAGUGUAGUUAUAAAUCUCAUGCUACGCGUAUGUCGGCUUGCUCACCUGAAGAAUUGUUGCUAUGUAGUGGGUGUGCAGCCUAUGUUGUGACGAUACUUAUGAGAAAUGACGAGCACGGUGAGGAAUGAGGUGCGAUAAGCUUACAAUGAGCAAAGCUACCUGAUGAGUUGUGCAAACUCCACACUACUACAACAUUCUUCGUCUUGUGCCUGAUUGUGCCUUGGUAGCUGAAAGGCCGAUUCUUCGCCUGGUUUGCCUGGGAUGUGUUCGGGCAAUCCUGCGAUGCAUUUGGAAAAGCCUGAGCCUUGUCCGAAAACACAAACACGGCAAUACAAGCAGCAUAAACGUGCUCCUCUCCCUCGUCUCCCUCUCUCCCUGAACGCGUCUCCUCUCCCUCGUAGGAACGGGGUUGACCACGGGGGAGAUGGGGAUGGGGUGUGUAAACGGAGACGCGUGGACGUUUUCCGGGAGUUCCGCGGACCGCGAACGGGAGCGGUUGCGGUUGGAGUCCGUGGGAACGAGAGCCAUCGGAGGAUGAGGGAGACGAGACGAAGACGAAGACGAAGAUGACCAGCGAAGCGUGAAGGCAGGAUCGCCUAACAGGGUGUUUCCACUUGGCCGAACACUAACACUAAGUUUGAAUGUUCUUCGUCCUGGACUCGUUUCUCGCCGUUCUAAAUGCAUAUAUUGAUACUACUAAUGAUAAUAGAAAAUAUUCAUCAAACAAAUUGGAGGUUGGGGCACUCCUGGCGGAGAACCGUAAGGCCUAGUGGAAACACCCCGUACACUAAGUCCACACUAGCGCACACUAAAGUUCCGUCAGACGGCAAGCAACCAGGAAUCCACAUGGCGAAGUAUAAGCAUUGGAUGGGGUUGGCGGCCGAGCAAGCGGGCAGGAAGGAGGCGCUCCCGCACAUCACAAUGUUUAUCCCACGUUCGGCGAAUCGCAAGCUUACAGGGUGUUUCCACUUGGCCGGACACUAUCUUCGGUACACUAUGUGCUAGUGUGGACUUAGUAUAGUGCUAGUGUGACGGUGUUUCCACUAGCGGCACUAAGGAGCGCCGAAACCAAAAUUGUUUUCGUAUUAUGAAUGUUUUAGCGCCAGGGAUUAAUUGCUGAUAAUUAAGCAUUCGCGUAGUUAAGAUCCGCUGCGGCGCAACCUGCGUCAUGAUGUCCGCCAUGAAGUCCGCAUGGUGCAUUGGCAACGGCCGGCCAGCGAAGGAAGGCAAACGAGCAGUAUAUGUUUGCUGAACGUUAUUGAAGGAGGGCUCCAUUGCAAAAUGGCGGUGUUCUGAGGCUGUCGGUGUUGGGCGUGCGCAAGUCAACGCGGCGUUUGCAGGAAGGAAAAAAGAUAGCUGCUUACGUCUAAAGUCUAUGGUCAGAAGGGAAAUCCAGCUCAUAAAAGUUGCCCGCCAAAUAGUUAGUGCUAGGUACUAAAGUUAAUGGCAGGUCUGAGGUCCAAUUAACUUUAGUGUGCGCUAGUGUGGACUUAGUGUACGGGGUGUUUCCACUAGGCCUUACGGUUCUCCGCCAGGAGUGCCCCAACCUCCAAUUUGUUUGAUGAAUAUUUUCUACUAUCAUUAGUAGUAUCAACAUAUGCAUUUAGAACGGCGAGAGACGAGUCCAGGACGAAGAACAUUCAAACUUAGUGUUAGUGUUCGGCCAAGUGGAAACACCCUGUUAUGCAGUUUAGGCUUUGCUGUUGGGCACUGGCGGCUAACAGAGCGCGUAAGGGACGGCAUUAUAUACCUAGGGAGGAGCGAGUAUGCCCUUGCUGCGGCACUGAUAGCCACAUCGAGGAUGAGAAACACAUUUUGCUGGAUUGUCCGGUUUACGACGAAAUCAGAUCUGAUAUGGGCCUUCCACGCUUCGAGCAUAUGAAGGACGCUACGAAGUGGGAACCUGAACGCCUGGCAAGGAUGCUGGAACGUAUAUGGUCUCACCGCAACUCUAUCGUUCCCUUUGGUCGUUAGUAUACUUCAUCACUUGUCUCGUUGGAAGUGCGAGGUAGGAUGGUGCUUAUUGGCGAUUUGGUAGCCCUUGAGCCCUCGGCUCGUACUAGGGUAGUUUGCAGGUACGGGGAACGCACCCACGACCAUGUAACAACAACAACAACAACAACAACAACAACAACAACAGGACCUUUCGUCCAGCAUGGACACGUGGAUCCGCAGCCAAUGCAUGGAGGCACCAUCGGCCGAAGACAACCCAGCUGGCCUGAUCGCCUGGUGGCCAGGCUUCAAGCGCCGCCUUGCCACCCUGGCCCAUCGACUCAACAAGGCAGCACAACAACGCCGACGACGGCCUGGCACCCGUGCCCGGGAAGCAAUUGCUGCGGUCCAGCGGGCUCAGCAAGCAGUCGAUGCGGCGCCCACAGCACCCCAGCCACUGCAGCAGCUAGUGGACGCACAAGCAGCACUGGCUAGGGCGCACCAGGAGGAUGGCAGCAUGGCAGCCAAGGAAGCACGGGCCCACUGGCUCCGGGCAGGGGAACGGACCGGCCCUGCCCUGACAGCCUUCCUUAAAGCCCAGGCGGCCGAACAGCAGCCUGCCCCAGUCGCACUCCAGGCGCACAGCGGCCGCCUAGUGACCAACCCAGCACAACUGCCGCAGGUCGUGGCAGACUACUGGGCUGAGAUCAGCCGAGCUCCUGACUUCAUCAGCCCCAGUGCCCAACAGGAGGUACUUGCCCAGCUGUCUGCGGCCAACAUCAGCCUCCCUGCAAACGCAGAUGAACAGCUUGGCUCCAAAACCAUCACAGCAGCGGAGCUACGGGUCGCACUGGUCAAGAGCCAGCCCGGCAAGGCACCAGGAUGGGACGGCAUCCCAGCCGACCUAUACCGCAAAUUCUGGUCCACCAUUGGCAACACCAUGGCGGGCCUCUUCACCGCCAUAGGCGCAACGGGGCAGGUGCCGACCGGGUUCCUGGAAGGCAUUAUCACGGUGCUCUACAAGAAGGGCGACCCCAAGCAACCCGGUAACUACCGCCCUAUCACGCUACUAUGCGCCGACUACCGCCUGCUCGCCAAGGUACUGGCCAACCGCCUGGGGCCGGCCCUGGGGCGCAUCAUCACCCCCGAGCAGUCGGCCUUCCUCCCCAAACGGCUCAUCGGGGCCAGUGUGAUGUUCCUGCGCCACCUAUCCCACCUCCUCCGCAAGCAGAACCGCCGGGGUCUCCUGGCGUUCCUGGACUUCGCGAAGGCAUAUGACACGGUGGACCGCGACUUCUUGCUAGCUGCGAUGGAGGCGAUGAGGGCGGGCCCGCAGCUGUGCAGCUGGGUUCGGCUACUGCUCAGCAACACGCAGGCACGAGCCAUGGUCAAUGGCUUUAAAUCAAGGCUGGUUGGGAUGGAGGCAGGCGUACGACAGGGGUGCCCCCUCGCGCCUCUGCUGUACCUCUUCAUCGCCCAGGCCCUGCUCUGCUGGCUCCGGAGCCGAGAUGUGGGGGUCAAACUACGGCCGAAUGACCAGGACCGCGUCACAGCCUGCCAGUUCGCGGACGAUACUGAAGUGGCGCUGGAGGGCGAGGAGUCAGUACCGUCGUUCCUAGAAGCCAUGGAGACCUUCGCAAGGGCGUCAGGCCAGCGCCUCAAUGUGGAAAAGGUGGAGCUGUUGAGGGUCGGUGCUGAGAACCAGCAACAACAGCAGCAGCCACAACCGGCGGGUAGGCAGCAGCUGCAGCAGCCACUACACCAACAGCCGCAGCAGGAGACAAUUGGUGGACUCAAAGUAGUCACCACCGCCACAGCCCUGAACUUGCCGGUAGACAACCGGCCCACACCCCCGCAACCCGAAUGGCCCAAGAUGCUGGCAGGCGCCUACAAGCGGAUGCAGCGGCUCGCCCGCUUCCCACUGUCAGCCUUCGGCAGGGCCACCGCCACGUCCGCCUACGGCCUGCAGACGGUCACCUGGCACAUGGAACAUGGCGGACCCCCUCCAGACAGCACUCUGGACCACAUCGAGCGGCUGACGGCCCGCCUGGUCGACCGGCAACAGGGCCCAGAAGACCCAGGCCAGCGUCUCACAGGUGUACCCGGCAGCCUUUUAGUAGGCCAUCCGUCAACCGGGGGUUUCGGCCUGCUGCCGCUCCGACAGCACAUCCACGCUCGCCACGCAGUCUGGGCCGUGCGAUUCAUUGCACAGGCACUACCGGCGGCAGGUUGUGAAGGUAGGGGUGCGGGAGGGGAAGUAACUGGGGGAGCAGGCGGGGACGAGGAGGUGGCAGCGGCAACCAACAGUGAGGCCCGGGGCCUACACCCCUGGGUACGCACGCUGUCCGCCUACCUGGAGCUCACCCACCCUGCACUCCAGCCUUGGGCUCUGACAACCGCCCGGGCCACGGGACCGUGGCUCGGCAGCAGCGACCUUCCCGCAGACAUCAGCCGGAUCGUGGGGGCACUGGGUCACUUACCGCCUCUGGAGGACAUUGGCAGAACCCCUCUGGAACCCGGUGAUUGGUGCUGGGCGGUGGCGCUGUGGGGCAACCCACUGCUGCCCAACGCGACCAAUGCUGCAAGCACCGAGGGCCCCAGCCGUCGACCAGGCCUGGAAGCAUACCACGCAGCACUGACGCCAUGCAGGAAACUACGCACGGUGGGGGACCUGGUACGGGUGUGGGAAGCGGUAAACACUAGCCAAGCCACCACCCUCCAGGGAGCAGCCUGGCAUUCGUGGGCCCGUGAGCACCUCGACCCAGCCACAGACCCCGCCCAGCUGCAGGACAAGGAUGCCGCCCUUGCAGCUCUUGGAGCCCUGCACAGCGACAUCAGCCCGGCCUGGCUGGCGGCAGCACACGCGGUGGAGAUCAGGCUGCGACAGCAACAACCAGUGGAGGAGGAGGGGCCCCAGCAGCAGCCACCAGCACCAGCAGUGACACUGCCAGACUGCGCACAAGUGAUGGCUAUGAUCAUCGGGCGCCUGGGGUGGCGCCUCCCUGGGGCGACGGACGCUGUGCCGCUCCGCCGCCUAACGGUCAGUCUAGCGACACAGCUACAGAACGGGCAUGUGGACGAGCGGCGAAUACGCCUGAUGACCGACUUCGUGCAUGAGGCCCUGAACACGCCCGAGGCCCAGGCCCAGCCUGACAAUUCUGCCGAGGUUAGCCGCUUUCAGGCAACCCUGACACGUUUGUGGCAUGGGGUGCGCUGGGAGAAUGAGAACAAGGAGACCAUGUGGCGUCUCGCCNNNNNNNNNNNNNNNNNNNNNNNNNNNNNNNNNNNNNNNNNNNNNNNNNNUGUCCAGUCGCACGUGCCGUACGGGAGCAGAUCGACAGGCACCUGCCACACACUCAGACAACAGUAGGGGCCACCACCACCCGGCAGCAGCUCUGGCUUGCCCAAGCGCCACCCGGGUGUGAGCAGGGCCCGUGGGACGUGAUCGCCCUAGCGGCGCUAUCCGCCAUGGAAGUCGGCAGGUGCUGCCUCCGAGCAGCAACCCGGCGACAGGGACGGAGGGGGGCGACAGCAACGGCAGGACCGCAGCAGCAGCAGCGACAGCAGCAGCGACAGGUGGUGGGGCAGCCCCAGCAACAGAGGUCCCGCCAGCGGGCCAUCACAGAUUUCUUCACCCCGGCGGGAGGUGCAAUGCAGCAAGAAGGACCCACCCUAAACGCCCCAGCGGAGGACGGGCCAACGCAGGAAGCAGGGGCGGGAGGGGGCGAGGCGGUGGCAGCAGCAGCAACGGCGGGCGCAACAGGAGCCUCGCCACUGGCCCGCGCACGCGCCCGGGCGGUGGCAGACGUCUGGGCGCGUUUGCGCUCGUUCGCAAUGCUGGAGACCCCCAGACACGGCUGGGACAGAGUCGGGCCGCAGCACCCCAUCCUGGCGGUCGUGGAGGAACGGAUGCGGUGCGCAGCACCGGUGGAAAUCACGGCCUAAAUAGCCGAGAUAGAGUUGGAUCGAGGUCUUACCGGAAAGGGAGCAGGGAGAGUGAGGGAGGGGGUGAGAGAGCCAGGAGUAGGGAUAGGUGAGGGAGCGAGGAGAGCAGGGAGGCCCUGGACAGUUGGAGGGCUGGGCGAGAGGGCAGUGCCCUGAGCGUGGUCUAGCAGGGGGAGUUGAGGACCCGGGCUGUGUGUGUUUUGUGUACUUGUGUGGUUGCCCUCUCCCCGGGAAUUGGGGCCCGUCGGAGUGAGGGGAAUGGGUUCUGCGCUGUCUGGCAUCAGAGUAGAGAACACGUAGGUGGCUUGCGGGAGUGGAGAGGAGGUGGGAAAGCGGUGGAGGAGAGUGGUUUAGAGGUGGAGAACAGGUGGUGCUGGUCCCGGCCGGUCAGGGUCAGGAGGGGAGGGAUUCCGGUGUGGUAAGCGGGAACAGGCGGCGUCUGUGAGCCGUGCCUUUUCCGGGCUUUAUAGGGGGGCGCCGUGCUGGCUUGUCAUCCCCCCCGCGGCUAUAGGUGUUUUUGCUGUGUCUCGCGCUGGGCUGCAUCCGAGAGCCCGCAACCCCCAGGAGGAGACUGACGUGCGGACCAGUUUCGCCUCGUUUGUGAGUGGACCGGCGGGGUAGUGGUGGCCACCCUCGGGAAGUGAUCGUUGUUCGUUGCUCGUGGUAGUUGAACAGCUGGCCUUCGAGGACCAGUGUGCGAGUACUCGCUUUGUGUUGGUCAUUCCUGUGCAACCGUAUCUCGGCUUUUGUGGUGUGUCGUCUCAGGCCCGUGGUCCUCCGUGUGUCCCUUGCCUUGCUGGCUGCGUGGGGCCCUGGUUCUUUUGUGUGUGUAGAGGAGGCCCCCGAGUAGAGCCCCUGCCCCCGGUGGUGUUUUCUUUUUGUUCUGGUUUUGGCGGUCAAGAGGGACGAGAGCGCGUGAAUAGGCAGGCCAGGCGAAGUGGCGCCUUUCGUGCGGUUCUUGCAUAGAUCGGUUUGCGCCGCUGUGUUGCCUAGCCAGGGGCUGGGAGAGUGUCCCGGUUGGCGUGAGUGAGGGAUCGAGGCGCGCGCGGAGGAACAGACGGACGUAGAGCCGCGCGCCCAUCCCUGCGCUGUGUUUCGGCCCGGUCAGGGCCCCCGGUGCUCGUCCUUUAUCGGGCGAGCCGCCCACAGUGUAACACCCCAUCAACAACAACUACCAGGACCUCAGACCUGCCAUUAACUUUAGUACCUAGCACUAACUAUUUGGCGGGCAACUUUUAUGAGCUGGAUUGUCCCUUCUGACCAUAGACUUUCGACGUAAGCAGCUAUCUUUUUUCCUUCCUGCAAACGCCGCGUUGACUUGCGCACGCCCAACACCGACAGCCUCAGGACACCGCCAUUUUGCAAUGUAGCCCUCCUUCAAUAACGUUCAGCAAACAUAUACCGCUAGUUUGCCUUACUUCGCUGGCCGGACGUUGCCAAUGCACCAUGCGGACUUCAUGGCGGACAUCAUGUGAGGGCUGCCAGGAAAAGCCUACGAUCCAUAAUUUUUCUUACAGACCUUGACAAUUAUCAGCAAUCAAUUCCUGGCGCUAAAACAUUUAAAAUACGAAAACAAUUUUGGUUUCGGCGCUCCUUAGUGCCGCUAGUGGAAACACCGUCACACUAGUACAACGUUCUAUAUUUUAUUACUUUUUCCUUUCCGUAUUUGUGUUCUUUGCUUGCCGCUUCACGUCGACAUUUUUUCGGACGUGACACCUUGUCACACCCCAUAUGUUUGGUCGAUUUGCGUCAUGUGAACUCUUAUGCUCGGCCAUUACUUCACAAUGGAGAUCUUCCUUGCAUUUGCCGUGUUUCCUCUCUUAUUCAACAACACCGCGUUUCGGCCCCGGCCGCAACGCGUCCUGUUACGACAUUCUUGCCGGGUUGCGCAAAGAAUAAUUGUGUCUCAGUCCAAGCAUGCUCGUCCAUUUUCAUCCAACAUUCAGGUGGGCAGGAUAAAGUCUAGUUUUUUCUUUCUGUUGUUCUUCCUGCUUUCCUGCUUUCUGAGUCAUGAACCUUGUGACAAAGCAAACAACCAUGUGAGUUAAAAAUGGAGUGACUACAUUCUCGUUUCAAUUUCCUCUUUCAAAGCCUUCCAAGUUUCUUGCUUCCUCAGGUGGCUUAUGUGAGCUCAUGAGGCUCGGGCGGCCAAAGUCUGGCUCGAUUUCAUCGUGCAAGGUUGAUCAGGUCAUAAGGGUUUGUUAGCAUUUGCACGGUAACAGUAUUUGCACCGCCUUUCGUUUAGUGAUGAGUCCUGUUGCAACGCAAAGUUGGUUUCCCUCUGUGCAGUUUUGUGGCCAUUGUUUGUUUCUUUGGAAACAUCCUGUUGUUUGGAAACACGCAUAACAUAAGCUACCAAAGGCUUGCUCGUUACAUUUUCCUGAAAAGUUUCUUACCGAUACCGGUACCAGUACUGACUGUAAUCCCGUUUGCCUGACGAAAAAGAAUAUACUCUGAUUUACUCGGUAAGCCAUUAGUUCCUACGCAUUCACCUAUUAAUCCAAUAAUAAUGCUGCUCACGGAUGACCGGCCCUAUUUUGACCACAGGCCGCGCCAUAGAACUGCAAGGCUACGGCCCGCCUUCAGGCCCGAAUGCACUGCACUUUUACUGACUCAUAAACCUCCCCAAAGCCAUGCUAACAUAUCUCCAAAAUAAUACACCAUCAAGAAAUCGCCUCCUGCUAGUAAAAGGCAAUAUAAGGCAAAUAGGGCCGGUCAUCCGUAAGCAGUCCCUAAUCGCAUUCUAUAUCGCUGGCACCCGUACCCCAAGGACCCUUGCGCUGUCUUAUAACGAGUCGCGAGAAUCAUUUAGAGUCUCUGAUCAAUUUGUAAUUCUUGGGCUGCACUACAACGACGUGUCCGUACGCCCUACAUACGGCUUAUGGUCGCCAAGUAACAUAAUACUAUGACACUACCGUUACGCUGAUACACAAGUUACUACGAUAGUAGUGCAAGUGGUGCGAAUGGGCAACAUGAGAGUUAACUUCGCUUCAAGACUAAUCCGUUUGUUAUGGGGAGGGCUUUACGUGGCCACUGUGUCCGCUUCUUUCUCAAGUACUCACAGCUUUGAAGCGCAAAAAUCCCUACGUGUUGCUGCUUAUGACGACGAAUGGGGGCUCCAUGCCGCCCGCAACUUGUCUGCUUGGCGCUCGCACCUCUUUGUGGCGACAGAAAAGGUUAGCUGUCCAAGUUAUAUGCUGGAUCAAUAAAUAUAUAUAAGUGUUAGCAGCCGCAAAGAAGUUGACACGGGAGUCCCUUCUGUUGAAAAGGUUGCGAGACUGUUCCAAACCGUAGCGGAAUUUUCUGUGCAGAGCCCUGCCAACGCUUGCAGUGAUCUCUUACCAUGGGGAUUUUGAAGAGUAUUUAGUCACAAUAAAGAAAGAUGUGUUAUGGCAAGAAGAGCGUCUGUGCCGGUAGGGUAUCUCCGCCGCUGUCUACCAAUGAAUGCUUAUGUAACAUUGUCGAGGGAAGCUUGAAUAUCGGAUGUGUGAGGCCCCAAUUGCAUCACAGGACACGACUCACCGUCAUAUUCUUGCAAAUGAUGGCAACCGGGCCCGGCAGCACUUCACAUCCCUCCUCUCUGACCCCCCCUUCUUCCGCGCCCAGUACAUCGUCUCUAAGGGCAACACCGACAAGCCGAGGGACUGGGACCGGUUCCACUUGUUCCAGCCCUUCAUCAGCUGCCCGCCAGGGCGGCCGCUGCGCCGUGUGGGUCCCGAGGGUGAUGGCGGCAAAUGGCUCUGUGAGCCCGCUGCCCUAAAGGAACCGUGCAUCGUCAUUUCCAUGGGCAGCAACAUGGAUUUCAGGUAGGCGUGGUGUCUAAUGGAAAGAUCUCCGCACUGGGGACUCACUUUGAUAUUUGCCGCGGCCGACAUCUGAAACCCGACAAGUGUGCCCUAGUAGUACCCAGCUGCGGGCGGGGGCGGGGGCGGGGCCUGGAAAGAGUUGGAAGUUGGUUCGAUUGGUGUGCUUUGAAGACCAAGCCGCAGAUCAGCGCUCGUAAGUUUAGAGCUGACCCCCCAGUCCUUAGGAUGUUUGGAUUUGCGAAUGGUGGUUGCGGCAUACAGCCCAGUAGGUGCUCCUCCACCUCACCAUUUCGAAAAAUGAAACGAUAACGCUUGCUAGCACUUCAUCUCCAGAGGGCGCCCUAAACACAAGCUCAACGCUGCGUUCAAAUGUGACCUUAUGACUGAUGCCAUGUGGUAACGCUGCGGUUACUAUGCUUUUGCUGCUACUCCUGCUGCUGGUGCUGUUGCCGCUAAUAUGCCAAAUGUACGAAUGUACGACAGGUUCGAGGAGGCCAUCUUGAAUGAGACGCGCUGCAAGGUCGCCACCCUAGAUUGCACGGUGGAGGGCAAGAAGCUCUCAGACCGCCACUCCUUCCACAAACUGUGCGUGGGUUCAGCUGCCGCAGCGCAGCGAGACCCUGCAUUUGUGACGUACAGCCAGUUUAUUUCGGUGUUAGGCGAGCAUAAAAUUGACGUACUGAAAAUCGACGUCGAGUCAUUUGAGUUUCCGCUGUUCGGGGAGUGGCGUGAGCACACGCGAUCCCUGCCCGAUCAGAUUGCCGUAGAAGUUCACUGGCAUGAGAUGUACAUGAGGAAUUUUGAGGCAGACCUUCAAUCGCACUGGGGUCGCGGUGAAUUUGGCGUGACGGAUCUGGCGUUGUUCUUCUUCCACCUAGCAAACCUGGGCUAUGGCAUUGUCAGCCAGGAGAUAAACGUUUUGUGUGGGAUGUGCUCCGAAUUCACACUGGUACGGGUUGAGGCAUCAGUGCCGUACGGCGGCAUGGAUCCCGUAUAUUCGGGAUGGCACAGUACCUAAUAAGCUUGCCUUAGUUAGCCUAGGACUGGUUGUCGUGUGAGAUGCAGGGGCUGGGCAAGGAUAUGGUGCGCCAGAAUGUUGAGUGCGUGUGAGGACAUCGACAGUUCACGGGAGGAGCGCUAGUUUAAGUGUUUUUUGAAAUGGCUGCGUAUGGCCAUCCAGCUCCGCCCUUGACUUGUCUCUGAUUAUGGUUGUAAAGGAGACCACCAAAAGGUUGGCCCUGAGGGCCGCUUGAUGUGAUUCCUGAGUGCAGGCCACCUCCAAAACUGGGGCCGGCGGGGUCCGUGUGCGUGACGACCCGAUCGUGUUGUCGCACUCAUGUUGUGAUCCCAGUAGCGUCAGCGCACCUAGUUCGGUUCCGAGAGGCACCGAAGAAAAAUUUUAGGUUCUAUAAAACCUGGAAUAGCUACCCAAAAUACAGAAGGACCCAACAAUUCCUUCUGUUAAGUUAAAAAAAGCGGCAGCUCAUUCAACUGUCGUAGUGCUAAGCUAAUUUGGUGAUUUCCAUUUGGCGAGAGCCAAAAAACGCCUUCGAAAAUUUUGCCUUCGCACAUGCCAGUUGGUGACGGUUCAAGCGGGAAAUAGGUCUGGAUUUUUAGGCUUGGCUGUUACUCUUCCUGCUGUGUAAGGCCCGUGGCAGCGGUACAAUCCUCGCCAAAAAAAUCGUCCAAACCGCGCCGUUCAGCACCAUCGGGUCAGCCAAUCCACAGCCACCAAAGCCAGUUACGGGAGUCAGUAAAACACAGAACACGUGUUCUGAAAAUUGGUGACGGCCAAAAGGCCCACCGCGCACGCGCACAACCGCGCCGUUGAGUCUCAAACCCUUUCCAUAACGCAGCGAAAUGACCACCUAUUGCCUUGGAUGAUUAGUCGUUCAGUCGCACUCCUAAAGCGAGGUACCGUCGGUGCAACCUCUCCCUACAAACCGCAACCACCUGCCGCAGCUCCUCGUACUCAGCAUCGUCACCCGCUCCAUCAUAUCUAUAUGAUAGGAUUAACCAGUCUCAGCGUGAUUUCUUGCUUUUAUGUUGGACCAUUUCUUUAGUUUGCACGGCAUUUGGCGACCAGUCGUACAGGAACCCAGUACCCAUUUCCACGGCGCACCCAAUUGGUGAUUUUCACCAAUUAUAUGUCACCAAAUUAGCUUAGCACUACGGUAGAUUGAAGUGGCAGUUCCGACACGGGAUUCCGUGACGCGUUUCUGCAGCGCGUGACAGAAUGCCGGGGCGCUUAUGAAGUUUUUGUUACGUAUGUAUGCGUUAUUUCAAGUAGAAUGCAGCCAGAGUGCGCUACCAGAAAACGGCGAGCAGGCGCGGCCGUCGUCUACUGGGCACCGACGAAUGUGACGCAAAACGUGAAGCGCAGUCAGCCCCUUAAGGCAAGCUUGCAAAAACAUGAAUAAAAAAGAAGCUCCUCGACGAAACGUGAUGCAAGGACGAGCGACCAGUACACCGUUCAUACGCAUCCAAAAUGCGAACGGCACGGCUGGUAUAAGAUGUUUAACUAGAUGUGCAACGGUUAUUAAUACAAGAAAAUGCUAUAUUAUUUAUGAUUUGCAAGCAGCUACUAGAACAAUGCGUUUGUUGGCUACGAAAGCUACGAAUCGUACAUUUUGGAUACAGCACACAUUUGAUAACUCACCAGGCAUUAUCAUGGAUAACAGCAGUAACCCGAUGAAAAGAAAGUAGCGAGCAGCGCUCCAAAGAUGACCCAUGGGUCAUCCGUUGCCCGACCGAGAACAGCGAAAGCAUCAAUCAUCUUUUGGAGCCAUGGCACCGGAGCCAUGGCUCCGGUGGCCACCGGCAUAUGCGGUUGCGUGUCUACUACCAGAGCACCUUGAGCUGUAGGUCAAAAAUUGCAUGUAAUCGUUUACUAAGCUUCUACACGUAAGCUAUUAUACAUGAACACAUGGCAUGGAGUAUAGGUGUUUAGUAUACAGGAUUGUACGGCAUGGAUUGACUGUGAACGAGUCGCACAGACGAGAAGGUAGGCGGAGUAGAAAGCGGUCUCACCGGCAGCCAGGAUGAUCAGCAUUCCAGCGGAAGGUGGUGCAGAGUAAGUGUUCGCGCAUCGCAGCAAUUUUUUUAUGAUAGCUUGAUGAUCGAUCGCACAGCGCGAUAAUGUACUUGCCAAGGAUUUCAGACUCACAUAAGUACUUUGUUUAUUACAAAGCAGGUAAAAGGAGUAGUAAACAGCUCGGCGACUUCGCCCCGACAGAGAUCGAGCCGCGCAAAAAUGACUAGGAGAUCUUCCGAUAAUUAUAAGUGCCCUAAACGAAAGAGAUCACGUAUUUGGCAGCUUGGAAAUGACUAGCGAAACUCUCCCUAUAGGGUGUUUGUACGACACGGAUAAAAAUGAGUUGCGAAGGUGAUCGAAGGUAAUAAAGGCGGGGGCAAACAGUAGCACCGAAUGAGAUGAGUGAGCUGGUACAACCUUUUGAUAACGACAUUUUAACAGCCACAUCAGGAGUGCUGCUACAAAAAAAAUAAUUGCUGGUGCUUUCCUGCAGCUGGGGACGAAGUCAUCAUGAAUGCUGGCAUCGUGUCCUUGUUCCACUUAUUGCUGUGCUCCGCAUUUCACGCGGCCGUGUCUACUGCAUCAGAAAAUAUCCUUAGGUUCGGAACGCAAACUCCCCUGCGCGUCCCUCUUCACGACGGUGAAUGGGCGUUGGAAGCGACUCGUAACCUGUCCGCUUGGCGCUCGCAGUUAUUUAUGUCCACAGAACAGGUAAAUGCCACUUACCGAUGCAAUCAUAACCCCGGUGGUUGGUAACCCAAUCGUAACCGCCUGAGAUUAAGUAAGACAAUCCAAGGCUGGGUAGAAUGCGAUCAACAGUAGUGCUGGAAGCUCACCACAUACUGGCCGACUUUGUAGCAGUGGGAGUUCCGUGGGUCUGAAUGGGGUCGGAUCGCUCCCAGCCUGAAAGCGCUUGGUGGUGUCAAACGUUCAAACACAACCAGCUGGUGAGCGCCCGAUGCUUGUCGACUGCACGCACCAAGGGCUUUGGGAGGCAUGCCCGCACUCCCAGUAGGAUGUCCUUGUCGUGCUAUCAGAGUACCACGUACUGCACGGAGGGCCAUUCCUCUGUUUAGGCCGUACAGUGGCACCUCCCGUGAGCUAUCGAAAGGGAGGCACGCACCUAAAAACACAUUUUGACAACAGGCAGUUGUCCCCUGGGGAAGGCCUCCAUGCUUUCCACGUUCCGUGGUUUGGAUCGGGGUUGGUGUCCUCGUGAUGGACCAAAAGCGCUGUUCAGAUCUAAAACCUCCAUCUCCCAAAACUCACACCGAACUGGAUUUCCUCCCUUUUUACAUACUCUCCCCUCACUGCCAGUAUAUCGUGUCGAAGAAUAACCUGGACAAGACGAAGCAUAAGUGGGACCGCUUCCACUUGUUCCAGCCCUUCAUCAGCUGCCCGCCAGGGCGGCCGCUGCGCCGUGUGGGCCCGGAGGGUGAUGGCGGCAAAUGGCUCUGUGAGCCCGCUGUCCUAAAGGAACCGUGCACCGUCGUUUCCAUGGGCAGCAACAUGGCCUUCGGGUAGGAUUGCCCGCUGCUGCACAUGCGAAGUCGUGUAGGGCUUCUCUCGGCCGUGAUGUGAGAUAUCCUUAUUUCCACCGUUGUGCAGCAACUUCGUGUACAUAGCCACUCUCAUUAUGCACUCCUCUCAUUCCGUGCAACGCUGCAACCCGGACGUGGAUUGAUUCCCCAUCACGCACAUUGUCCGAUCCCCUCAUUUCUAAUCUCGCGAGUAGAGCACAACAUGGAGGCUAUCACUGAUACGUAUCAUGAAGUUAAGCUAAAGGUGCUGUCACUUGCUCGCAUGCUGCUGUUGCCGCUACAUCGCCAAUCGUACGAAUGUACGACAGGUUCGAAGAGGCCAUCUUGAAUGAGACGCCCUGCCAGGUUGUCACGCUAGAUUGCACGGUGGAGGGCAAGAAGCUCUCAGACCGCCAUACCUUCCACAGACUGUGUGUGGGGUCAUCCGCCCUGGCUAAUGUUGAUACGACAUUUGUGACGUACCGCCAGUUCGUUUCAGCGCUAGGGUUGCAGGAGAUUCCCGUACUGAAGAUCGACGUCGAGUCAUUUGAGUUUCCGCUGUUCGGGGAGUGGCGUGAGCACUCGCGAUCCCUGCCCGAGCAGAUUGCCGUAGAAGUUCAUUUGCACGAGAGGCGCCUGAACCACUCGGAAUUGGAGUUGCGAUCGCAUUGGGGCCGUGGCGAGUUUGGUGUCAUGGACUUAGCACUCUUUUUCUCGCACCUAGCUAACCUAGGCUACGGCAUUGUCAGCCAGGAGAUGAACAAAUUAUGUGUAUCGUGCUCCGAAUUCACAUUGGUACGGGUUGAGGCAUCAGUGCCGUACGGCGGCAUGGAUCCCGUAUAUACGGGAUGGCACAGUACCUAAUAAGCUUGCCUUAGUUAGCCUAGGACUGCUUGUCGUGUGAGAUGCAGGGGCUGGGCAAGGAUAUGGUGGCUAAUAGAAUGCUGAGUGCGUGUGAGGACAUCUACAGUUCACGGGCCAUCAUAGUUACUGUGCUUACAUGCUUCAGCACAACAAUGCCAUCCGUGAAACGAUCUAUAAUUACUAUCACUCAAUCAUGUGUGUGCGGCCUAAUCACUUCGACGACGGGAAUUGGCAGUCGCCUCCAUCUGAGGCAGGGUCUUAUAUUUCUGGGUUACACGGCAUGAACGGUCCUAAGGCAUUGGCUUCUGUACGCAGCAGCAGUACUCGGGAAGGCACCAAGGUAGGACCUUGUGUUAUUCUGAAGAUGGAGAUGGAUCACAUCGGACGGAUGUUAUGCUUUGUAUUUCGUUGUUGGGGGGGGAUGUUAAAAGCUACUGUAUCUAGUACACCAUUUGAGGUCAUCCAAGCAUCUCCUACUACAUUACCAGUGUUAACUGUAGUAAUCUUGCCCUCUUAAGCUUAAGGUGUUAGGAGCCCUUCGGUAUGAUGCUUGGUGAUUAUUAUAGCGGGCUACCACGCCAACGCUACCACGCCAACGCCGUUGGCGGUGAGAGGGUGGAUACAUUGUGUGGGCAAAGCUCGUCCUGAGAAAGGACGACGAGCACCGGGGGAGGGGCCUGGAUUGGAGGUGAAGAUUUUUGGUACAGUUUGCAU
RNAcentral lists this long non-coding RNA (16975 nucleotides) under Volvox carteri. RNAcentral describes it as "long non-coding RNA (VCAR_LNC002771)". Lineage: Eukaryota; Viridiplantae; Chlorophyta; Chlorophyceae; Chlamydomonadales; Volvocaceae. The record is from RNAcentral.